This is a long non-coding RNA of Leptopilina boulardi, 715 nucleotides long. RefSeq lists it as uncharacterized. The record is from RefSeq and is a predicted model, not a curated record. Lineage: Eukaryota; Metazoa; Arthropoda; Insecta; Hymenoptera; Figitidae. The transcript has 4 exons.
CAAUUUAUAUAUAUAAAUUACCAUUUAUAUUUUACAUUCACAUUUUACGUUAUGUUACGUAAGUUUUUACAUUUUCUCAUAAUGUUAUUGUAGAAUCGGCCUUCGGGAAGCACUCCCAACCUCUAAACAGUGACCCAACCUAGACCUGACAAUGUUACACUCUCCCCCAUAUAGAAAAAAUUCGAUCUCAAGAGCGAAUUUUUUUUCAAUAUUAUACUAUAUAAUAAUAAAUAAUAUAAUGAGUGAAGUGGUGCUCGAUAGGAACUACUUGUGCAUUCUUUUCGUUAGUGUUUUGGAUUAUUGUUGGCCAAUAUUUCAUCAGAUAAGCAUAAUUUUAUACAUAAUUCUUUAGAUCCCCUUUUAUAAUCUCUUUGGAAUCCCGGGACCAAGUUAAUUUUUUGUAAAAAAAAGGCUGUUUUCUACGUUUUUAUAACAAUAUUUUAUUACCCCCCUUUUUUCUGAAGCCAAUUAUUUCUAAACCCGUAUUCAAAAGAAGAAUUUCUGGUCCAAAAUACAAAAUGGAAUAUCCCAUAUGUCAUCAGAAACCAUUGUCAAUACACAGAAUCAAGUACAAGUCUAGGAUUCAAACCGGCCAAACAAUAUCCCCAACAAACCACAAUUAAAAGGAUUCAAGAAAAACGACAAAUGGACUCAUAGAAAAUCUAAAACCAGGUAAACAACUUUAUUAAAUUGAGACCACCUAAUGUAAAACUAA